ACGGGGGGGGCAAGCGUUGUCCGGAAUUAUUGGGCGUAAAGGGCGCGUAGGUGGGACAGCAAGUCUGGGGUGCAAUCUUACGGCUUAACUGUAAGCUUGCCCUGGAUACUGCUGUUCUUGAGUUCGGAAGAGGGUAGUGGAAUUCCUGGUGUAGCGGUGAAAUGCGUAGAUAUGAGGAGGAACACCGGGGGCGAAGGCGGCUACCUGGUCUGAAACUGACACUGAGGCGCGAAAGUGCAGGGAGCAAACAG
This 251-nucleotide ribosomal RNA is filed under the name uncultured prokaryote. Its description in RNAcentral is "partial 16S rRNA". It matches the Rfam family "Bacterial small subunit ribosomal RNA", at positions 525 to 775 of the family's 1533-position model. The record is from RNAcentral.